UACGGAGGAUGCGAGCGUUACCCGGAUUUAUUGGGUUUAAAGGGUGCGCAGGCGGCACGGCAAGCCGGCGGUCAAAUCGCGGGGCUCAACCCCGCCCAGCCGUCGGAACUGCCGGGCUAGAGUGGGCGAGAAGUGCGCGGAAUGCGUGGUGUAGCGGUGAAAUGCAUAGAUAUCACGCAGAACUCCGAUUGCGAAGGCAGCGCACCGGCGCCCUACUGACGCUCAGGCACGAAAGCAUGGGUAUCGAACAGG
This 252-nucleotide ribosomal RNA is filed under the name uncultured bacterium. Its description in RNAcentral is "partial 16S ribosomal RNA". It matches the Rfam family "Bacterial small subunit ribosomal RNA", at positions 524 to 776 of the family's 1533-position model. The record is from RNAcentral.